UACGGGAGGCAGCAGUGGGGAAUAUUGCACAAUGGGCGAAAGCCUGAUGCAGCUAUGCCGCGUGUAUGAAGAAGGCCUUAGGGUUGUAAAGUACUUUCAUCGGGGAGGAAAAAACAAAACUAAUAAUUUUAUUUCUUGACGUUACCCGAAAAAGAAGCACCGGCUAACUCCGUGCCAGCAGCCGCGGUAAUACGGAGGGUGCUAGCGUUAAUCAGAAUUACUGGGCGUAAAGAGCACGUAGGUGGUUUUUUUAAGUCAGAUGUGAAAUCCCUGGGCUUAACCUAGGAACUGCAUUUUGAAACUGAAAUACUAGAGUAUCGUAGAGGGAGGUAGAAUUCUAGGUGUAGCGGUGAAAUGCGUAGAUAUCUGGAGGAAUACCUGUGGCGAAAGCGGCCUCCUAAACGAAUACUGACACUGAGGUGCGAAAGCGUGGGGAGCAAACAGGGAUAGAUACC
Molecule: ribosomal RNA, 455 nt
Filed under: uncultured bacterium
Lineage: Bacteria
Description: bacterial SSU rRNA
Rfam family: Bacterial small subunit ribosomal RNA
Source: RNAcentral